Molecule: long non-coding RNA, 246 nt
Filed under: Hordeum vulgare
Lineage: Eukaryota; Viridiplantae; Streptophyta; Magnoliopsida; Poales; Poaceae
Description: long non-coding RNA (HVUL_LNC021415)
Source: RNAcentral
GCACCACCACCACCACCACCACCACUGCCACCACCACCACCACCACCAACAACAACAACAAUAACAAUACCUACAACAAAAACAACAAGAAGAAGAACAACAACAACCACAACAACAACAAGAAGAACAACAACAACAACAACAAACAACGAUGACAACAACAACAACCACAAUGACGAGAACAAUGACAACAACAACAACAACAACAACAACAACAACAACAACAACAACAACAACAACAACAAC